GACAGAGGGUGCAAACGUUGUUCGGAAUUACUGGGCGCAAAGCGCGUGUAGGCGGCUAAGCAAGUCGGGCGUGAAAUCCCACCGCUCAACGGUGGAAGUGCACCCGAAACUGCAUAGCUAGAGUCCUGGAGAGGAAGGUGGAAUGCUUGGUGUAGAGGUGAAAUUCGUAGAUAUCAAGCGGAACACCGGUGGCGAAGGCGGCCUUCUGGACAGUGACUGACGCUGAGACGCGAAAGCGUGGGGAGCAAACAGG
RNAcentral lists this ribosomal RNA (253 nucleotides) under uncultured bacterium. Its description in RNAcentral is "partial 16S ribosomal RNA". It matches the Rfam family "Bacterial small subunit ribosomal RNA", at positions 524 to 776 of the family's 1533-position model. The record is from RNAcentral.